Non-coding RNA from Oryza brachyantha (malo sina), 221 nucleotides. The record is from Rfam. NCBI's taxonomy places the organism in Eukaryota, Viridiplantae, Streptophyta, Magnoliopsida, Poales, Poaceae.
ACGACCUUACUUGAACAGGAUCUGUUCUAUAGGCUCGUACCGUUGCAUCCUUUACCGAAAGGGAGGCAAGCACUCAAGUCUGGCUGAUGAACCGUGGCUUCAGGGCUAGAGCGUGAUUAAUGGCCAGGAUUGUUCUCUCCGAGACGAUCAGACGGCUGUAGAGGAUCGUUCCUGGCAUGUGCUUCGCAUGCCGGGGUGGCCCUGAAGCUGUCUGACAGACC